This 3206-nucleotide long non-coding RNA is filed under the name Lupinus angustifolius (narrow-leaved blue lupine). RNAcentral's name for it is "long non-coding RNA (LANG_LNC002491)". Lineage: Eukaryota; Viridiplantae; Streptophyta; Magnoliopsida; Fabales; Fabaceae. The record is from RNAcentral.
CUCACUCUUGUGUACUUCUUUUUUUUCUUGUACCCUUUCUUUCAUCUUCAUCUUCGUGGGGUCAUUAUUUGCUCCCCUCCCACUUUCUUUUUUAUCACAAAGAGUGUUGGACUCGACCUCCCCUUGCUGAUGUUGGUGCUGGUUGGAAGCCAUUGUAGGUUUGUCAUUCGAACACAGCUCCGAUGGUAUUGUUGUGAUGUCAUCCUUGGGCUCCCCAAAAAAUUUCUUUAGGAGCGAAACAUGGAACACCAGAUGGACCCGGUUGGUAGCCGAUAGGGCCAACUCAUAAGCAACAUAACCAACAUAAGGGUGGAGGCGUGGGAGAACCCACUCAUCCACGUUAAAGGUAACAUCUUGUCUCCCACUAUCUGCAUGAGCCUUCAUUCUUUGUUGAGCAUAUGUCUUAUAUUUUGUUUGAAAUACUCAAUAAGGUUGUUCUAUCUCGUAGGAACUCAUCGAUGUUCGAAGUUGUGGCUGAGAAUGAAACAUAUUCCCGAACAGAAGGCGAAGACCGACCAUACAGAGCCUCAAACGGGGACAUGUCAAUGGCUUAAUGUUUGCUUGUGUUAUACCAGUAUUCGGCCAUAGCAAGGUGUAAAAACCACUUCUUAGGAUGAUUACCCGUGAAGCAUCGAAGAAAAGUUUGGAGUAUGCGGUUCACAACCUCAGUUUGGCCGUCAGACUGUGGAUGGUAAGCAGUGUUGUAACUCAGUUUUGUGUCCAAAAGUUUAAAAAUUUCUUUCCAGAAAGUACUAAUGAAAACCGGAUCUCGAUACGAAAGAAUGGUUUUGGGUAUGUCAUGUAGUUUGCAGAUGUCACUAAGGAAUCGGUGAGCCAAGGUCUCAGCCGUGAACUUAGUUGGUAAGGCGAUGUAGUGAGCAUACUUGGUCAAUCUAUCCACAACCACCUAGAUGACAGUGUGCCCAUGAGAAUGAGGUAAAUGAGUAAUGAAGUCCAUUGAUAAAUCCUCCCACACCUUUUCUGGAAUUUUCAAUGAUUGUAGUAACCCUUUAUAUUUCUUUGGCAUGUAUUUAUUGUAUUGGCAGGCUGAGCAAUUACAAAUAUGGGCCUUGACAUCCUUUGCAACCCCAGGCUAGAAGAAUGAGGUAGUGAGGCGACAUAGUGUUGGCUUCCACCCAGAAUGGCCUGCCAUGGGGGUGUCAUGGAAUUCUUGCAUCAAAUCAUGGCGCAAACGGUCAAUAUCAGGUAUAAAUAUUUUUCAAUUAUAGAAUAACAUUCCUUGAAUAAGUUUAAAUUUGUCAUUCCAUUUCUGAUUUGUUUCAUGGUUUUGUAAGAGUUUAUGUCCUUCUGGUACAACAUAGUAGUAGUGGAGUCUGUCCAGAACCUGUGGAAAAGGGGAAGAGAUUGCUGAGAAGAGUGGUGUCUUAGUUUGAUUGCACUGAGAAAGAGCAUCAUCCACCCGACUUGAGGUACCAAUACGAUAUUUGAUGUCAUAUUCAAACCCUACUAGUUUAGUUGUCCAUUUAUGUUGUUCUGAACCAUCGAAAGAUAUAAGUUGCAAUUUUGGGGGUCUAGGUUGUGUAGGUGGGUGAGUCAUUGGGGUGAGGAUGGGACGUGUAUAAGGGUGGCGAGGGUUAAAAAAUGGUGGGACAGGGGUUUGGGUAAAGGGUGGGUAUGGGAAAGGUAUUUGUGGUGGUGUGUUGGUAGGGGAAUUAUGUAAGUUGUUGUUGUUGUUGUGAGAAGUGGGAUUAGGGUUCUGGUUUGUAAUGUGUGAAGAUGAAGCCAUAUUAGGAGGGUCUGAAGGUUGUGGGGGUAGUGAAGAAUGAACAUUCAUACCUGAUAAUUUUUCAGUUAUGGCACGAAGGGCGUCAACAAUGGCCUCAUGCCUUGCAUCUUGUUGUUCCUUGCUUUCUUGUAAUUUAUCUGCAAAAGGGUCUCAUCAAUCUCCUUAUUGGAGGCCUUGGGAGGCAUAGUUCAAGAAUGAAAGCAUCAAUUGAUAAGAAAUGACUUAGCACCAGAACUUACAGACUACAAAAUUAGUUAAGAAAGCUAGGAAAAUAAACUCUGAUGUGCAGAUAAUUCAUUGUGCCUUCAAGAAUGAAAGCACCAAUUGAUAGCGAAUGACUUAGCACGAGAACUUACAGACUACAAAAUUAGUUAAGAAAGCUAGGAAAAUAAACUCUGAUGUGCAGAUAAUUCAUUGUGCCUUCUCCAUGACAACUUUUAUGUUAAAUACUAACAAUAGGAAAUUAGGAUAUAGAAAGAAGGUUCUACGGGCUCUUAGUAAUUUGGUCCAUUUGAUUUAAUUACAUACUGCAGAAUUAAAAAUAAAUCUCUAAACAUAAUCUUUUAGUCAACUCGGUCUUUGUUUGUCUUUGGUGGGUCUUUGUGGAUAUUCUCCCUCAACAUCUAUAUUUGGGCUCCUAUCAACGAGCUACGUCCAGUUUCUUGGUGACAUUAAAUUUCCACUAUAAUUAAUCAUAGAUUACUUACAUGAGUAUUUUUUGCACACAUCAAUUCAGACUCAAUAUAUAUGAGUAUUGUUUGCGCAUCUACAUUAUCUAGGCUCAAUACAUACAAGUAUUGUCUGCACACUUUUCUCUACAGGCUUAACGCUAAAAUAAAGUAUGCAGAUUUGUAAUUAAAAUUACAAGGUGCAAGUGUUUAAGAUCACACUAAAAGGCGGAAUAAAUAUGAAGAUAGAAAGGUUGCAUAGUAAAUAGCAGAUGAUUAAAUCAUAGGGUAUGCAAUGCUACGAAGUGAUAAAUGCUAUUUUCAGAGUCAUGAAUAAAGAAAACUUUCAAAGAAUGUUUUAUGAAUGCAAAAAUUUAUCUAAGUCCUUUCUGUCUUGAUUCUUCAUGGUUGAGACUUUUUAUAUUUUGUCCAAUUAAUGUAGACGUUACAGUAGUCGUUGCAAACUUGUAGAGUUCUCCAUUUGAAUUAAAUGUCUAUUGAGGCAUUGCUUGAUCGAUUAUUUCUUCUAUUUUCUUCUUCAAAUUCAUUAAUGUUUCAUAAUCAUUCUCAGCAGCAUUAUAUGCCUUAGAGCAGUUGGAACCACCUGAUGACAUGAGAGACGCUUUUUUUGUUGUUGCAAAGUAGUCCCGAAAACAUGGUACAAAGGAUUGCUUUUGUCGUUGCCUAAGUGAACAUUUAUUUUAUAGUAAUAAAGGGUUUUUUUUUUUUUUAAUUUUAUUUUGCAAAAUACAAUGUUCUGAUAUAGGCUGGUCGGUAUUACAUAGUGAAGA